GACGAACGCUGGCGGCGUGCCUAAUACAUGCCAGUAGAACGCACAGUUUAUACCGUAGCUUGCUACACCAUAGACUGUGAGUUGCGAACGGGUGAGUAACGCGUAGGCAACCUGCCUGGUAGCGGGGGAUAACUAUUGGAAACGAUAGCUAAUACCGCAUAAUAUUAAUUAUUGCAUGAUAAUUAAUUGAAAGGUGCAAUUGCACCACUACCAGAUGGACCUGCGUUGUAUUAGCUAGUAGGUGAGGUAACGGCUCACCUAGGCGACGAUACAUAGCCGACCGGAGAGGGUGAUCGGCCACACUGGGACUGAGACACGGCCCAGACUCCUACGGGAAGCAGCAGUAGGGAAUCUUCGGCAAUGGACGAAAGUCUGACCGAGCAACGCCGCGUGAGUGAAGAAGGUUUUCGGAUCGUAAAGCUCUGUUGUAAGAGAAGAACGGGUGUGAGAGUGGAAAGUUCACACUGUGACGGUAUCUUACCAGAAAGGGACGGCUAACUACGUG
RNAcentral lists this ribosomal RNA (505 nucleotides) under uncultured bacterium. Its description in RNAcentral is "partial 16S ribosomal RNA". It matches the Rfam family "Bacterial small subunit ribosomal RNA", at positions 28 to 507 of the family's 1533-position model. The record is from RNAcentral.